AGAGAGAGACAUGCGCGCAUAUCAAUAAGCGGAGGAAAAGAAACUAACAAGGAUUCCCUUAGUAACGGCGAGUGAAGCGGGAAGAGCUCAAAUUUGAAAUCUUCAAGGUUUUACCUUGACGAAUUGUAGUUUAAAGAAGUGUUUUCUGCUGAAGUUUUGGUAAAAGUUCUUUGGAAUAGGACAUCAUAGAGGGUGAGAAUCCCGUAUUUGACCAUUAUUUUCAGCUUUGUGAUACACUUUCAAAGAGUCGGAUUGUUUGGGAAUGCAGUCCAAAAUGGGUGGUAAAUUUCAUCUAAAGCUAAAUAUUGGCGAGAGACCGAUAGCGAACAAGUACCGUGAGGGAAAGAUGAAAAGAACUUUGAAAAGAGAGUUAAACAGUACGUGAAAUUGUCAAAAGGGAAGCGUUUGACACCAGUGUUGUUUUUCUCGAAAAUCAAUUAAAAAUGGCUCGAUUUUGUAUUGCUUGAGACCUUAAAAGCUCACUGUACAUUUUUCGUGUCUUUUUUAAUGCACUUUUCGUUUAACAAGUCAACAUCAGUUUCUUUUGUUGUAAAAGGGUCAUUGGAAGGUGGCUUUCUUUUCGGAGAAAGUGUUUAUAGCCUUUGGCCUCUGCAAUCGAAGAGACUGAGGUCUGCAGCGUAGACUCUUCGGGGUUAGAUACAUUUGUGCUAAGUUAUAGCUUUUUAUAGACAACUUGUUGACUAUAAUUAGUCUUGUAGCUUACUCGCUUAUGCUAUUUUACCUACGCUUAGGAUGUUGAGUCGUAGAGCACGCAG
Molecule: ribosomal RNA, 776 nt
Filed under: uncultured Neocallimastigales
Lineage: Eukaryota; Fungi; Neocallimastigomycota; Neocallimastigomycetes; Neocallimastigales
Description: partial large subunit ribosomal RNA
Rfam family: Eukaryotic large subunit ribosomal RNA
Source: RNAcentral